GGUUUUUUGAUUAUAAUUUAAUAUUUAACCUGCUCAAUGAAAAUUAAAUAGCUGCGGUAUAUUGACCGUACAAAGGUAGCAUAAUCAAUAGUUUUUUAAUUGAAAGCUGGAAUGAAUGGUUUAAUGAAAUAUAAACUGUUUCGAAUUUAAUAAAUUAAAAAUUUUUUAUUAGUUAAAAAACUAAUUUAAUAUUAAAAGACAAGAAGACCCUAUAGAUUUUUAUAAUUUAAUUUUAGUUUAAAUAUAUUUUAUUUAUAAUAUUUAUUAAAUUAUUUGAUUGGGGUGAUUUUUAAAUUUAAUAAACUUUAAUUUAAAAUUAACAUAAAUAAGUGAUUUUUAGAUCUUGAAUUUUAGAUUUUAAGAUUAAAUUACCUUAGGGAUAACAGCGUAAUUUUUUUAAAUAGAUCAUAUUGAUAAAAAAGUUUGC
Molecule: ribosomal RNA, 427 nt
Filed under: Euryproctus nemoralis
Lineage: Eukaryota; Metazoa; Arthropoda; Insecta; Hymenoptera; Ichneumonidae
Description: partial 16S ribosomal RNA
Source: RNAcentral